UACAGAGGUCUCAAGCGUUGUUCGGAUUCAUUGGCGUAAAGGGUGCGUAGGCGGCGCGGUAAGUCGGGUGUGAAAUCUCGGAGCUUAACUCCGAAACUGCAUUCGAUACUGCCGUGCUUGAGGACUGGAGAGGAGACUGGAAUUUACGGUGUAGCGGUGAAAUGCGUAGAUAUCGCUUGGAACGCCAAAGGUGAAAACAGGUUGCUGGGGUUGUGCCGACGCUGAGACACGAAAGCCAGGGGAGCAAACGGG
RNAcentral lists this ribosomal RNA (252 nucleotides) under uncultured bacterium. Its description in RNAcentral is "partial 16S ribosomal RNA". It matches the Rfam family "Bacterial small subunit ribosomal RNA", at positions 524 to 776 of the family's 1533-position model. The record is from RNAcentral.